CGCCUGGGGAGUACGGCCGCAAGGUUAAAACUCAAAUGAAUUGACGGGGGCCCGCACAAGCGGUGGAGCAUGUGGUUUAAUUCGACGCAAUGCGAAGAACCUUACCUGGCCUUGACAUCCAGAGAACUUUCCAGAGAUGGAUUGGUGCCUUCGGGAACUCUGAGACAGGUGCUGCAUGGCCGUCGUCAGCUCGUGUCGUGAGAUGUUGGGUUAAGUCCCGUAACGAGCGCAACCCCUAUCCCUGGUUGCUAGCAGGUAAUGCUGAGAACUCCAGGGAGACUGCCGGUGACAAACCGGAGGAAGGUGGGGAUGACGUCAGGUCAUCAUGGCCCUUACGGCCAGGGCUACACACGUGCUACAAUGGCGCGUACAGAGGGCUGCCAACUCGCGAGAGUGAGCCAAUCCCUUAAAACGCGUCGUAGUCCGGAUCGGAGUCUGCAACUCGACUCCGUGAAGACGGAAUCGCUAGUAAUCGCGAAUCAGAAUGUCGCGGUGAAUACGUUCCCGGGCCUUGUACACACCGCCCGUCACACCAUGGGAGUGGAUUGCACCAGAAGUAGUUAGUCUAACCUUCGGGAGGACGAUUACCACGGUGUGGUUCAUGACUGGGGUGAAGUCGUAACAAGGUAACCGUA
Molecule: ribosomal RNA, 635 nt
Filed under: uncultured Marinobacter sp.
Lineage: Bacteria; Pseudomonadati; Pseudomonadota; Gammaproteobacteria; Pseudomonadales; Marinobacteraceae
Description: bacterial SSU rRNA
Rfam family: Bacterial small subunit ribosomal RNA
Source: RNAcentral